GACGAACGCUGGCGGCGUGCUUAACACAUGCAAGUCGAACGGAAAGGCCCUGCUUUUGUGGGGUGCUCGAGUGGCGAACGGGUGAGUAACACGUGAGUAACCUGCCCUUGACUUUGGGAUAACUUCAGGAAACUGGGGCUAAUACCGGAUAGGAGCUCCUGCUGCAUGGUGGGGGUUGGAAAGUUUCGGCGGUUGGGGAUGGACUCGCGGCUUAUCAGCUUGUUGGUGGGGUAGUGGCUUACCCAGGCUUUGACGGGUAGCCGGCCUGGGAGGGUGACCGGCGACAUUGGGACUGAGAUACGGCGCAGACUCCUACGGGAGGCAGCAGUGGGGAAUAUUGCACAAUGGGCGGAAGCCUGAUGCAGCAACGCCGCGUGCGGGAUGACGGCUUUCGGGUUGUAAACCGCUUUCGCCUGUGACGAAGCGUGAGUGACGGUAAUGGGUAAAGAAGCACCGGCUAACUACGUG
RNAcentral lists this ribosomal RNA (468 nucleotides) under uncultured bacterium. RNAcentral describes it as "partial 16S ribosomal RNA". It matches the Rfam family "Bacterial small subunit ribosomal RNA", at positions 28 to 507 of the family's 1533-position model. The record is from RNAcentral.